UUUAUGAAGAGUUUGAUCCUGGCUCAGGAUGAACGCUGGCGGCGUGCCUAAUACAUGCAAGUCGAGCGAACGGACGAGAAGCUUGCUUCUCUGAUGUUAGCGGCGGACGGGUGAGUAACACGUGGAUAACCUACCUAUAAGACUGGGAUAACUUCGGGAAACCGGAGCUAAUACCGGAUAAUAUUUUGAACCGCAUGGUUCAAAAGUGAAAGACGGUCUUGCUGUCACUUAUAGAUGGAUCCGCGCUGCAUUAGCUAGUUGGUAAGGUAACGGCUUACCAAGGCAACGAUGCAUAGCCGACCUGAGAGGGUGAUCGGCCACACUGGAACUGAGACACGGUCCAGACUCCUACGGGAGGCAGCAGUAGGGAAUCUUCCGCAAUGGGCGAAAGCCUGACGGAGCAACGCCGCGUGAGUGAUGAAGGUCUUCGGAUCGUAAAACUCUGUUAUUAGGGAAGAACAUAUGUGUAAGUAACUGUGCACAUCUUGACGGUACCUAAUCAGAAAGCCACGGCUAACUACGUGCCAGCAGCCGCGGUAAUACGUAGGUGGCAAGCGUUAUCCGGAAUUAUUGGGCGUAAAGCGCGCGUAGGCGGUUUUUUAAGUCUGAUGUGAAAGCCCACGGCUCAACCGUGGAGGGUCAUUGGAAACUGGAAAACUUGAGUGCAGAAGAGGAAAGUGGAAUUCCAUGUGUAGCGGUGAAAUGCGCAGAGAUAUGGAGGAACACCAGUGGCGAAGGCGACUUUCUGGUCUGUAACUGACGCUGAUGUGCGAAAGCGUGGGGAUCAAACAGGAUUAGAUACCCUGGUAGUCCACGCCGUAAACGAUGAGUGCUAAGUGUUAGGGGGUUUCCGCCCCUUAGUGCUGCAGCUAACGCAUUAAGCACUCCGCCUGGGGAGUACGACCGCAAGGUUGAAACUCAAAGGAAUUGACGGGGACCCGCACAAGCGGUGGAGCAUGUGGUUUAAUUCGAAGCAACGCGAAGAACCUUACCAAAUCUUGACAUCCUUUGACAACUCUAGAGAUAGAGCCUUCCCCUUCGGGGGACAAAGUGACAGGUGGUGCAUGGUUGUCGUCAGCUCGUGUCGUGAGAUGUUGGGUUAAGUCCCGCAACGAGCGCAACCCUUAAGCUUAGUUGCCAUCAUUAAGUUGGGCACUCUAAGUUGACUGCCGGUGACAAACCGGAGGAAGGUGGGGAUGACGUCAAAUCAUCAUGCCCCUUAUGAUUUGGGCUACACACGUGCUACAAUGGACAAUACAAAGGGCAGCGAAACCGCGAGGUCAAGCAAAUCCCAUAAAGUUGUUCUCAGUUCGGAUUGUAGUCUGCAACUCGACUACAUGAAGCUGGAAUCGCUAGUAAUCGUAGAUCAGCAUGCUACGGUGAAUACGUUCCCGGGUCUUGUACACACCGCCCGUCACACCACGAGAGUUUGUAACACCCGAAGCCGGUGGAGUAACCUUUUAGGAGCUAGCCGUCGAAGGUGGGACAAAUGAUUGGGGUGAAGUCGUAACAAGGUAGCCGUAUCGGAAGGUGCGGCUGGAUCACCUCCUUUCU
This 1554-nucleotide ribosomal RNA is filed under the name Staphylococcus aureus. RNAcentral's name for it is "16S ribosomal RNA". It matches the Rfam family "Bacterial small subunit ribosomal RNA". Lineage: Bacteria; Bacillati; Bacillota; Bacilli; Caryophanales; Staphylococcaceae. The record is from RNAcentral.